Molecule: ribosomal RNA, 420 nt
Filed under: uncultured bacterium
Lineage: Bacteria
Description: bacterial SSU rRNA
Rfam family: Bacterial small subunit ribosomal RNA
Source: RNAcentral
GAGUUUGAUCUUGGCCCAGAAUCAACGCUGGCGGCGUGCCUAAUACAUGCAAGUCGAACGCGAAAGUCCCGCAAGGGAUGAGUAGAGUGGCAAACGGGUGAGUAACACGUGGGUGACCUGCCUUCGAGCGGGGGAUAACGUCCCGAAAGGGACGCUAAUACCGCAUGACAUCCUGCCUUUGAAGAGGCGGAGAUCAAAGCUGGGGAUCGCAAGACCUGGCACUUGAAGAGGGGCCCGCGCCUGAUUAGCUAGUUGGUGGGGUAACGGCUCACCAAGGCAACGAUCAGUAUCCGGCCUGAGAGGGCGGACGGACACACUGGGACUGAGACACGGCCCAGACUCCUACGGGAGGCAGCAGUAGGGAAUUGUUCGCAAUGGGCGCAAGCCUGACGACGCAACGCCGCGUGGAGGAUGAAGACC